Molecule: transfer RNA, 165 nt
Filed under: Candidatus Aenigmatarchaeota archaeon
Lineage: Archaea; Nanobdellati; Candidatus Aenigmatarchaeota
Description: tRNA-Thr
Rfam family: tRNA (bases 103-157)
Source: RNAcentral
GCCACCGUAGCUCAAUCGGUAAGCCCUUUCUUAAAAAGAAAGCGCUUGCGGAAAGAAACAUAAAAAUCGCUUGCGGAAAGAAGUGUGUUUGUGAGAAGAAGGGGUUCGGGAAAGAGCAUUGGUUUUGUAAACCAAAGGUUGGGGGUUCAAUUCCUCCCGGUGGCU